CGAACGCUGGCGGCAGGCUUAACACAUGCAAGUCGAGCGAGAUCUUCGGAUCUAGCGGCGGACGGGUGAGUAACGCGUGGGAACGUGCCCUUUGCUACGGAAUAGUCCCGGGAAACUGGGUUUAAUACCGUAUACGCCCUUCGGGGGAAAGAUUUAUCGGCAAAGGAUCGGCCCGCGUUGGAUUAGGUAGUUGGUGGGGUAAUGGCCUACCAAGCCGACGAUCCAUAGCUGGUUUGAGAGGAUGAUCAGCCACACUGGGACUGAGACACGGCCCAGACUCCUACGGGAGGCAGCAGUGGGGAAUCUUAGACAAUGGGGGCAACCCUGAUCUAGCCAUGCCGCGUGAGUGAUGAAGGCCUUAGGGUUGUAAAGCU
RNAcentral lists this ribosomal RNA (374 nucleotides) under Paracoccus sp. oral taxon H67. RNAcentral describes it as "bacterial SSU rRNA". It matches the Rfam family "Bacterial small subunit ribosomal RNA", at positions 30 to 432 of the family's 1533-position model. The record is from RNAcentral. Lineage: Bacteria; Pseudomonadati; Pseudomonadota; Alphaproteobacteria; Rhodobacterales; Paracoccaceae.